GCCAGGCUGGGGCCAGGGCAAGACCGGUGCUGUGGCGGCCCAGGGGAUGGGGCCCCUCCAGGGCAAAAGGACUCCCCCGGUCCGGAGUCCCCUCCCCCAUCAGCCCCUUCCAGGGGGCCAUUCAUGUCUGCGCCAUGGGGAGGGCAAGGGGGAAACAGAGCAGGCAAAGAGGCCACCACGAGAGCGCACGAGGGGGCCGGGCGGCCUGGCUGGGGGAGUGAGGUGGGAGACGCAAGCCUCUGAGAACUGAGAAGUUCGAUCCCAGGCAGUACCUGGACAGGGAGACCAAGAAGAAGGGCGAGCUGUUAACUUUACAAUCCUGUCGGCUUCAUUCAGACCCUGCUCUGUCGGCCCCCAGGCCCCUAGGCCCCAGGCUUGGGAGCCCGGGUAAAUUCUGUUUCCUAUUCCCAUAGGCGUCUGCAGAUGGGAAGGGGCCUCUCUCCAGCCUUCCCCCACUUCCCCCGCCAGCGUGGCCUGGGAAAGUAAGAGCCUGAGUAUUCGACGAGAACUAUGACCGUGAACCAAAGCCUGGACACUUCCCAUCCUCAAAUUCCCUUCAGGCCCCCACUCCGCGCCGGACUCCCAAGGCCUCAGAGCAGGGGGUAUGCCUGUCGUCUCCUAUAUUUAGGCCUCCAGGCUAAUUUUAUCCGGGGGCGGUGCCACCCCCGCUGCACAUGCGCACAGACAUGCGCGGACCCACCACGCGAUUCCGCCGCCGCCGCGGUCGCCAGGGAAACCGACGUCAGCAGCUGAGCUCAGCGGUUGCUGGAGGGACCACGGGAGGGCGGGAGGGGCGACCCCUCCCCCAUUUCCCGGCGGAGCCAGGGAUCGACCCACUCCCACGCUGGCGGGCGCGGCCCGGGGUCGCCCACCUCUAGUACACCCCCAGGCCCUGCAGGGCUCGGUGGCCGUAAGAAGAAGGGCUGCCCAUGGGGUUUCCAGAGGCUGGCCUUGCUCCCCAGGGCAAAACACAACCGCCACCGCCCUCCGCGCAAAAGCUCCCCAGCCUGGCCUUCGCCUGGAUCUCGGUCAUUGUGGUCAAGACGACCCAGCCUGUCCUCCUCCGGCCCCCGCACCCUCUCCCGACCCACAGGACUGAAGCCGGCACCUGCCAUUGUCAGGGACUCAGGAAUCCUCUCUCUUCGGUCCUCUACUUUUCUAGAUUACCACCCCCCCCCACACACACACACUCCGCCCCCAUCCGAAGCAGACACACUCAGCCCUGAGCAAGGGACGCACAAACGCCAGCGGAUAGUUCUUCCCCUACUCCUCGUCCAACCACACCCCCAACCCCCGAGCAUUUUCUGAGCGCCAGGAGAAAAAGGAAGGCUGUGGCCAACAGCAGGAACUAGCGCCGGGAACGGGAUGUUCCAGCCCGAACCAGGCUUACAUCACGGCCGGCGCGGGUCCAGGGCCUGGAGGGGGGAGCGCGGGCAGCGCGGAAAGCCUGAAGGGGUCCCGGUGCCGGGGCAAAACCGAAGACCCCCGAGUGACAAGAGAGGCGGCGGCGGAAGGCCUGCCGAGGGUCGGACGUGGGGCCGGGGUAGCUGGAAGGAGAGGUCAAGGCUGGAGGUAGGGUAAGAGGAUCAGGAGCGCGGACAGCCGGCACAGGGUUGCGAGGAACACCCAUGUUACACCCGAAGGCAGAGAGGGGGUGGACAACGGCAAGGAGGGCGGACUGCGGGUGAGCCGUCCGAGCGCCCGGGCCGAAAGCGGCGCAUCAGGCUGGAAGUGGCGGCGGUCCGACUUGGGGCGGGAGACCGGUCCCCGGAUGGCUCUGGAGAUGCCUACCUGGCCGCGCGAGCGCCCUCCGGCCGCCUGCCCGCCGCCGUUGCAGCCCUCAGCCGAGUGGAAGCUUCGCGGGGCCAGGAGGCGGGUUGCAUAAUGCCAGGCUCUGCCCCUCAUUGGCCUCCUGCCGGCUGAGCCGCAGGCCCCGCCCCCGAUUGGCUGGGGAUCUCGUCCCGGCGCCUGAUUGGUUACUGGCCCCUACUGAGGUCAGGGCUGUGUCACACACACGGGCGCACGUGGACCUGGGUGCUGGCGCUGGGCUGAAGGGCCCCAGACACCACCACCCAGCCAAUGGGCGCAGGACGCCUUGCACAAUGAAUAAUGGAAGGGUGGGGAGGGGACGUAAGCUCCCCUCUUCAGGGAAAAUGCCUGGGCCGCGGUAGGUGCUUAAAGAUGUCUGCUUCCUGAACGGUCCAACCCGGCACAGCAGGACACCUUGGCCUUGCCAGAGGAUGCAGCCACCCACAGUUAGGGCUGCCCCAAAAGUGGGGGCCAGGAAGCCAGGACUAUAGGGAACAAAGCCGGUGGCUAAGAGAUCAAGGGGGACCCUACAGAGACACAGGUGAAGUGGCAAGGGCUUCAGAUCCCCACCACUAGGACAAGAGAAAGCCAAAGACCUCGUCUGCCACCUCUCUGUAUUCCCCAGAACCCCAGGACUGGACCUGACACAUGGUAGAUGAUCAAUAAACAUGGUGAUUUUGUU
Acinonyx jubatus (cheetah) is the source of this 2491-nucleotide long non-coding RNA. RefSeq lists it as uncharacterized. The transcript has 2 exons. NCBI's taxonomy places the organism in Eukaryota, Metazoa, Chordata, Mammalia, Carnivora, Felidae. The record is from RefSeq and is a predicted model, not a curated record.